This 1044-nucleotide ribosomal RNA is filed under the name Vibrio orientalis. Its description in RNAcentral is "bacterial SSU rRNA". It matches the Rfam family "Bacterial small subunit ribosomal RNA", at positions 28 to 1053 of the family's 1533-position model. The record is from RNAcentral. Lineage: Bacteria; Pseudomonadati; Pseudomonadota; Gammaproteobacteria; Vibrionales; Vibrionaceae.
AUUGAACGCUGGCGGCAGGCCUAACACAUGCAAGUCGAGCGGAAACGAGUUAUCUGAACCUUCGGGGAACGAUAACGGCGUCGAGCGGCGGACGGGUGAGUAAUGCCUAGGAAAUUGCCCUGAUGUGGGGGAUAACCAUUGGAAACGAUGGCUAAUACCGCAUGAUGCCUACGGGCCAAAGAGGGGGACCUUCGGGCCUCUCGCGUCAGGAUAUGCCUAGGUGGGAUUAGCUAGUUGGUGAGGUAAGGGCUCACCAAGGCGACGAUCCCUAGCUGGUCUGAGAGGAUGAUCAGCCACACUGGAACUGAGACACGGUCCAGACUCCUACGGGAGGCAGCAGUGGGGAAUAUUGCACAAUGGGCGCAAGCCUGAUGCAGCCAUGCCGCGUGUGUGAAGAAGGCCUUCGGGUUGUAAAGCACUUUCAGUCGUGAGGAAGGUGGUGUAGUUAAUAGCUGCAUUAUUUGACGUUAGCGACAGAAGAAGCACCGGCUAACUCCGUGCCAGCAGCCGCGGUAAUACGGAGGGGCGAGCGUUAAUCGGAAUUACUGGGCGUAAAGCGCAUGCAGGUGGUUUGUUAAGUCAGAUGUGAAAGCCCGGGGCUCAACCUCGGAAUAGCAUUUGAAACUGGCAGACUAGAGUACUGUAGAGGGGGGUAGAAUUUCAGGUGUAGCGGUGAAAUGCGUAGAGAUCUGAAGGAAUACCGGUGGCGAAGGCGGCCCCCUGGACAGAUACUGACACUCAGAUGCGAAAGCGUGGGGAGCAAACAGGAUUAGAUCCCUGGUAGUCCACGCCGUAAACGAUGUCUACUUGGAGGUUGUGGCCUUGAGCCGUGGCUUUCGGAGCUAACGCGUUAAGUAGACCGCCUGGGGAGUACGGUCGCAAGAUUAAAACUCAAAUGAAUUGACGGGGGCCCGCACAAGCGGUGGAGCAUGUGGUUUAAUUCGAUGCAACGCGAAGAACCUUACCUACUCUUGACAUCCAGAGAACUUUCCAGAGAUGGAUUGGUGCCUUCGGGAACUCUGAGACAGGUGCUGCAUGGCUGUC